This 274-nucleotide ribosomal RNA is filed under the name uncultured bacterium. Its description in RNAcentral is "partial 16S ribosomal RNA". It matches the Rfam family "Bacterial small subunit ribosomal RNA", at positions 523 to 796 of the family's 1533-position model. The record is from RNAcentral.
AUACGAAGGGGGCUAGCGUUGUUCGGAUUUACAGGGCGUAAAGCGCACGUAGGCGGAUUGAUUAGUUAGGGGUGAAAUCCCGAGGCUCAACCUCGGAACUGCCUCUAAAACUGUCAAUCUCGAGACCGGAAGAGGUGAGUGGAACUCCUAGUGUAGAGGUGGAAUUCGUAGAUAUUAGGAAGAACACCAGUGGCGAAGGCGGCUCACUGGUCCGGUACUGACGCUGAGGUGCGAAAGCGUGGGGAGCGAACAGGAUUAGAUACCCCAGUAGUCC